This 345-nucleotide ribosomal RNA is filed under the name uncultured microorganism. RNAcentral's name for it is "partial 16S ribosomal RNA". The record is from RNAcentral.
GAGUUUGAUCUUGGCUCAGGGUGGUAGGAACAUUGAGGCUGGGGCCGCCUGAGGCUUUGGCAUGAGGCUGGGGGGCGUGAGGAGAGAUGUGAAACAGUUACACCGGGGUGGAAGGUGUCAGAGAGGCCUCUCAGUUUCUAGCUUGAGUCGGCAGGCAGGCCAUGGUGGUGGCUGGUGGGGGAAGGUCACCACUGCCCCACGGCCAGAGAGGAUUGCCUCUGAGCCAGGGAUGUCCAGGGCUGCCUCUGAGAGAGGUACAGGUGGGAGUGGACACGGGCAGGUCAACCACUGUCCCUGCCCCAUGACCCCGACCACAGGUCAGAUGACCCAGAUGUGGGGGGCCGA